GAUGAACGCUGGCGGCGUGCUUAACACAUGCAAGUCGAACGAAGCACUUAAGAUUGAUUCUUCGGAUGACGUCUUUUGUGACUUAGUGGCGGACGGGUGAGUAACGCGUGGGUAACCUGCCUCACACAGGGGGAUAACAGUUAGAAAUGACUGCUAAUACCGCAUAACCCGAUAGGAUCGCAUGAUCCAGACGGAAAAGAUUUAUCGGGGUGAGAUGGACCCGCGUCUGAUUAGCUAGUUGGUGAGGUAACGGACCACCAAGGCGACGAUCAGUAGCCGGCCUGAGAGGGUGAACGGCCACAUUGAGACUGAGCCACGGCCCAAACUCCUACGGGAGGCAGCAGUGGGGAAUAUUGCACAAUGGGGGAAACCCUGAUGCAGCGACGCCGCGUGAGUGAAGAAGUAUUUCGGUAUGUAAAGCUCUAUCAGCAGGGAAGAAAAUGACGGUACCUGACUAAGAAGCCCCGGCUAACUACGUG
RNAcentral lists this ribosomal RNA (479 nucleotides) under uncultured bacterium. RNAcentral describes it as "partial 16S ribosomal RNA". It matches the Rfam family "Bacterial small subunit ribosomal RNA", at positions 28 to 507 of the family's 1533-position model. The record is from RNAcentral.